AAUGAAUUGCCUGAUUAAAAGGGCUAUCUUGAUAGGAUAAAACAUACGGUUUCGUAUUCAUUA
RNAcentral lists this transfer RNA (63 nucleotides) under Culicoides cylindratus. RNAcentral's name for it is "tRNA-Ile". The record is from RNAcentral. Lineage: Eukaryota; Metazoa; Arthropoda; Insecta; Diptera; Ceratopogonidae.